This 230-nucleotide long non-coding RNA is filed under the name Medicago truncatula (barrel medic). Its description in RNAcentral is "long non-coding RNA (MTRU_LNC000441)". Lineage: Eukaryota; Viridiplantae; Streptophyta; Magnoliopsida; Fabales; Fabaceae. The record is from RNAcentral.
UGCAGUCUUUGAGCAUAGUUGGCCAAUACAAGCCUUGUCGAAAUAAGAGCCAUUUCAUUUUGUGGCCUGCUUGGUGUGUCCCGCAUGUUCCAUCAUGAGUAUUGGAAACAGCCAGAUACGCGUCUGUUUCUCCUAGGCAUUUCAAUAAAACUCCUUCUGAAGUCUUUUUGAAUAGCUCACUACCCAUUAUCACAUAGCUCAGGGACCUGUAUUUCACUUUUCGAGGGGUG